Molecule: ribosomal RNA, 170 nt
Filed under: Vibrio hangzhouensis
Lineage: Bacteria; Pseudomonadati; Pseudomonadota; Gammaproteobacteria; Vibrionales; Vibrionaceae
Description: 16S rRNA. Bacterial SSU
Rfam family: Bacterial small subunit ribosomal RNA
Source: RNAcentral
UUAAAUUGAAGAGUUUGAUCAUGGCUCAGAUUGAACGCUGGCGGCAGGCCUAACACAUGCAAGUCGAGCGGAAACGAGUUAACUGACCCUUCGGGUGACGUUAACGGCGUCGAGCGGCGGACGGGUGAGUAAUGCCUGGGAAUAUGCCUUGAUGUGGGGGAUAACCAUUG